RNAcentral lists this ribosomal RNA (347 nucleotides) under uncultured bacterium. RNAcentral's name for it is "partial 16S ribosomal RNA". It matches the Rfam family "Bacterial small subunit ribosomal RNA", at positions 338 to 699 of the family's 1533-position model. The record is from RNAcentral.
CCUACGGGGUGCAGCAGUGGGGGAUAUUGGACAAUGGGGGAAACCCUGAUCCAGCGACGCCGCGUGAGUGAAGAAGUAUUUCGGUAUGUAAAGCUCUAUCAGCAGGGAAGAAAGAAAUGACGGUACCUGAGUAAGAAGCCUCGGAUAAAUACGUGCCAGCAGCCGCGGGAAUACGUAGGGGGCAAGCGUUAUCCGGAAUUACUGGGUGUAAAGGGAGCGUAGGCGGUAAUGCAAGUCUGGGGUGAAAGACGGGGGACCAACCCCCGGACUGCCUUGGAAACUGUGUAACUGGAGUGCAGGAGAGGCAGGCGGAAUUCAUGGUGUAGCGGUGAAAUGCGUAGAUAUUA